UGCUUUCUAUCUUUCUUUCUAUUCUUCUUUUUUUUUUUUUAAUUCCUCUCAACUUUUUAUCUGUACCUGCUUUAUUUUUUCCUCCCCAUACCACCUUCACUUUCGCCUCCCAUCUUUCUCCAUAUCAUUUUUCACUUUUCCAUCCUUCAAAGUACCUCUCCCACCUACUCUCUCUCCACGUCACAUUUCUCUUCUUUUCCACUACUAUCGUAAACCCACUACGUAUCCCGCCGGCCGCCGCUCCGAAUCGUCGCUGUCGCCUCCCCUCGCAGGAGCACGGAAGACGUCGCCUCCCUCGUAGGAGCAUGGAAGGCGUCACCUUCUGUUACAUCAUGUCCUUCCUAGCAUACGAAGCCUCACCACCCCCUACAAACCUUCCCAACGAACCCCGCCGUACACUGCCCAUCACCUCUCCAUUACCGCGUACAGCCCCUCAUCUCCCCCUAUCUCUUCUUCUUCCUUUCUCCGUUAGCUUGCCAUUUUCCAAAACAUUACUUCUUCUUCUCUCUCUUUCUCUCUCUCUCUCUCUCUCUCUCUCUCUCCCUCUCUCUCUACACCAUUAAUG
This 565-nucleotide long non-coding RNA is filed under the name Ananas comosus (pineapple). RNAcentral describes it as "long non-coding RNA (ACOM_LNC000885)". The record is from RNAcentral. Lineage: Eukaryota; Viridiplantae; Streptophyta; Magnoliopsida; Poales; Bromeliaceae.